Neopelma chrysocephalum (saffron-crested tyrant-manakin) is the source of this 364-nucleotide long non-coding RNA. RefSeq lists it as uncharacterized. The transcript has 3 exons. Lineage: Eukaryota; Metazoa; Chordata; Aves; Passeriformes; Pipridae. The record is from RefSeq and is a predicted model, not a curated record.
GUUCUCUGGUACCUGGGCCUGUUGAAAGGUUUUCCAGGAGAGAGUCAAACCGACCCUCAGAGGGUUAAGGGGGAGAAAGACAUUAACCUGAGCUGGGUUAAUGAUUGAGUCAAAAGGGAUGACACCUCAAGUUGAGUUAUAUGGGGAUUAUUCCCUCCUGAUGUUUGUCCUUGGUUUAGGACUGUUUUUUGUAGGUGCUGUUUUAGGCAUUGUCCUUAGAACAGUGCGAAAGGAAAGAUUAGGCUAUUCAAAAAUGUACCAGUGAAGUGAUAAGAUCUUUUCAAGAGUCAAUGAAGGCAUUACAGGAGCAAUUAGAAAAAGAACGCUUGCAGUUAACUGCUGAGCGUGAGGCACUGUAGAAAGA